This 384-nucleotide ribosomal RNA is filed under the name uncultured Sphingobacteriales bacterium. RNAcentral's name for it is "bacterial SSU rRNA". It matches the Rfam family "Bacterial small subunit ribosomal RNA", at positions 997 to 1382 of the family's 1533-position model. The record is from RNAcentral. Lineage: Bacteria; Pseudomonadati; Bacteroidota; Sphingobacteriia; Sphingobacteriales.
GUAGGUGAAAGCUUACAUCUCUUCGGAGCAGUUUUACGAGGUGCUGCAUGGUUGUCGUCAGCUCGUGCCGUGAGGUGUCGGGUUAAGUCCCAUAACGAGCGCAACCCCUACCUUUAGUUGCCAUCAGGUUAAGCUGGGGACUCUAAAGGAACUGCCUACGCAAGUAGUGAGGAAGCGGGGAUGACGUCAAAUCAGCACGGCCCUUACGUCCAGGGCUACACACGUGCUACAAUGGCCGAUACAGAGGGCAGCUACCUGGUGACAGGAUGCAAAUCUCCAAAGUCGGUCUCAGUUCGGAUCGGAGUCUGCAACCCGACUCCGUGAAGUUGGAUUCGCUAGUAAUCGCGCAUCAGCCAUGGCGCGGUGAAUACGUUCCCGGGCCUU